This 422-nucleotide ribosomal RNA is filed under the name uncultured bacterium. Its description in RNAcentral is "bacterial SSU rRNA". It matches the Rfam family "Bacterial small subunit ribosomal RNA", at positions 917 to 1344 of the family's 1533-position model. The record is from RNAcentral.
GGACCCGCACAAGCGGUGGAUGAUGUGGAUUAAUUCGAUGCAACGCGAAAAACCUUACCUACCCUUGACAUGUCAGGAAUUUUGCAGAGAUGCGAAAGUGCUCGAAAGAGAACCUGAACACAGGUGCUGCAUGGCUGUCGUCAGCUCGUGUCGUGAGAUGUUGGGUUAAGUCCCGCAACGAGCGCAACCCUUGUCAUUAGUUGCUACGCAAGGGCACUCUAAUGAGACUGCCGGUGACAAACCGGAGGAAGGUGGGGACGACGUCAAGUCCUCAUGGCCCUUAUGGGUAGGGCUUCACACGUCAUACAAUGGUUGGUACAGAGGGUUGCGAACCCGCGAGGGGAAGCUAAUCCCAAAAACCAAUCGUAGUCCGGAUUGCAGUCUGCAACUCGACUGCAUGAAGUCGGAAUCGCUAGUAAUCG